RNAcentral lists this ribosomal RNA (465 nucleotides) under Vreelandella stevensii. Its description in RNAcentral is "partial 16S ribosomal RNA". It matches the Rfam family "Bacterial small subunit ribosomal RNA", at positions 338 to 795 of the family's 1533-position model. The record is from RNAcentral. Lineage: Bacteria; Pseudomonadati; Pseudomonadota; Gammaproteobacteria; Oceanospirillales; Halomonadaceae.
CCUACGGGAGGCUGCAGUGGGGAAUAUUGGACAAUGGGGGGAACCCUGAUCCAGCCAUGCCGCGUGUGUGAAGAAGGCCCUCGGGUUGUAAAGCACUUUCAGUGAGGAAGAACGCCUGGUGGUUAAUACCCAUCAGGAAAGACAUCACUCACAGAAGAAGCACCGGCUAACUCCGUGCCAGCAGCCGCGGUAAUACGGAGGGUGCGAGCGUUAAUCGGAAUUACUGGGCGUAAAGCGCGCGUAGGUGGCUUGAUAAGCCGGUUGUGAAAGCCCCGGGCUCAACCUGGGAACGGCAUCCGGAACUGUCAAGCUAGAGUGCAGGAGAGGAAGGUAGAAUUCCCGGUGUAGCGGUGAAAUGCGUAGAGAGCGGGAGGAAUACCAGUGGCGAAGGCGGCCUUCUGGACUGACACUGACACUGAGGUGCGAAAGCGUGGGUAGCAAACAGGAUUAGAUACCCUAGUAGUC